Molecule: long non-coding RNA, 944 nt
Organism: Lutra lutra (Eurasian river otter)
Lineage: Eukaryota; Metazoa; Chordata; Mammalia; Carnivora; Mustelidae
Exons: 7
Source: RefSeq, a predicted model, not a curated record
GCGGCGGUUACAUUGGGGUGGGGCUUGGGUGACAACCAUAGGCAGGGAGCGCCUGGAGGAGAAAGCAGUGGCCACUGGAGGCUGGGGAGGUGACCGAGGGGUCCAGGUGGCAGGAGGGCCAGGACUUUGAGGCCCUUGGAGGGCGCACUCUAGAAUCCUUGGCGAGUGAAAGGAUGCGUUAGAAUCAGAGCAUUUAGAAACAAAUGAGCCUUUAAGAGACUUGAGCUCAAGAGGAAAAUUUCUUGAUUUGGAUCAAAGCGGUUCCGAGGAAUCAGAGAUUAGUUUCCCUGAAACACACCCCUCAAGCGAGCUUGGGGAGAAAAUCGACCAGAUGCCUUAGGAUGAACUGGGAUGGGAAAGGAGAGAGGAAAAAAGAUGAUCAGACUUAAGUGAGCAAGGAGAGGAAGAAUUCCAGUCCAAAGCAGAGAUCCCGGAGAAAUCACUGGUGUCUACCAGUGAGGACAUAUUGUUUCGAAAGGAUGACCGCACCAACGUGUAUCCUUUGAUGGCUUGAUACCUCUUCACAAGCUCCUAAAACCAUUGCGGGCUCCUAAAACUGCACGUUCGGAGAUGGACCAGAUAGCAAAAGGGGCUUCAACAAGUGUGUUCCUGCCUCUCUCUCUGCCUGCAGCAUCCCCCUUUCCCUUUGGAGUCCCCUGCCUUACCCCAGAGGCCUGGAAUAAUUCAGAGUGCUCCUGGGUUCACAAUUGGGGGUGUGACAUUCUCUGGGCUUUGGCUAAGACCAUGACUUGGUCUUUCAGAUAGAACAGUUCUCUUCUUGUUUACUACAUUUGAGAUGAAAACCAGCGAGUUCUUCUGUACAUCUGUGCUGACACUGCGUUCAUCUACGAUGUCUUCAAGAAUACUCAGCACCAUCUUCAGGGCCACACUAAUGUGAUCUCCUGCCUCUGCAUCGGGGAAGACAGGCAGUGGAUUGCCACGGC